UCCAAAAGCCGCAUGUCAAAGACCCCGUAAUUGCCAGAAUAAAGUGCCAUCACUUCCUUCCAAUAUUAUAUAUUACUCAAAGCAGACUUUUUCUCCACCCUCUCUCGAAACCGAUGAUACGAUUUUCUUCCCACUGAUAGUCAAUGACUUUUCUUUCCAUUUAAAAUCAGAGUAAGAGCACAGAUUUUCAACCGGUAGUACCUUCCCUCUCUGUUGCUGCAUCUUCUUAUCCUCCUUUUUCCUUUUCCCUUCUCCCUUUUUCAUUUGAGAGUUCCAUCUCUGUCUUUUGAUGUUCAAAUUAUUUUUGCAGAUUUGAUUCAUUAUCUUUAUUAGUCUAAUGUGCCGUGCUUUGUCAAAUUUUUUAACUUUGUUGUUCAAAUUUGUCUCACUGAUUUGCUCAAACGAAUCACUUAUUUCCUCUUUUCAGGUUUCAGGAAUCGCUCUCUACAUCAAAUCUCGAUUCUUUCGGUCAACAUUCUGAGCAAAGCUAAUCUACCCAUUUAAGCUUUCUGAUUUCAAGUGCUUUUUGUAUGUGUUUAACUACUUUGGUGAAACACUUAACUUAUUCUCUUUUAUCAUGUUAAUUAAUUCCUUAUUCCCUCUCAUAUUUUGAUUAUUUAUACCUUUGUGAUAGAGAUGUGGCCGAGGGCAAAACAAGGGCCUAUAACAGACACUCUUGGAACUUCUAUUGGUUCAUUAUUUAUACUUAACGUAUUAUUUUCGUCUGCUUUUUGUGUUAGUUAUUUUAUGAAUCAUUUAGGGAAAAUGCUUUAUUGUUGUUGGUGACGCCUUUCAACUGUUAGAGAGACUUAUUUUGCCUAUUAUGUAAUAUGGAUUCUACAUUUUAAUUUUGAUGUUAGGAGAUAAAUUUGACGUUAUUGGCAGCAAGUGUCGCCCUCUUAGCUACCUGUUUAUGUCAUACUGGGUUUUUAUAUAUGGCAAGUGUUAGUAUAAGAGAAUUUAUGCAUCUUAAAAUAUAUCAGUUUAAGUACCACGUCGAGGAAACAGGACAACUCAAACUAAUUCAAUGCCAUGUCAUUGCGCGUGCAGCUCACUGCUGCUGAUCACUUGCUAACAACUCAAAAUGAUAUGACAAGGGUUGGAUAGCUUGAGACUUUUUAUCUGUUAUACCUCAGAAGGUUGAUAAUGUAUAGAAAUUACUGUUAUUUUUCUGGAAUUUUUCAUGUGGAGAAUGUAAACCAUAAGAAGAGGGUCAAGGAACUUGGAGCAAAUGUAAAGAAGUUGUGUCGUCAGUAGAACCUUCAACACACCACAACCAUCAUCAUGCAAAAAUUAAAGGUGCUGGAAUGACAAGACCAAAUCCGAUAUUGCAGUCUCAGCAGCUGAAAAAAGCACUUGAGCAGCUCAAACACAAUGAAUUCACUGGAAAGAGAACUGCAAGAUAAUUUCUUAAUGUUUCAAAUGUAUUUAAAGAGGGAAAAAAUUAAAAGUUUAAUUCAGUCCUUUAAAAUUCAAAGCAUUCAAAUGGCAAUAAAGUAUGUAGAAUGAGGGGAAUAAUUCUAUAUAAAGAAGAAUAUUUCAUUAAAUUAACAUGUGAUUUGUUA
This is a non-coding RNA of Nicotiana tabacum (common tobacco), 1565 nucleotides long. Lineage: Eukaryota; Viridiplantae; Streptophyta; Magnoliopsida; Solanales; Solanaceae. The record is from RefSeq and is a predicted model, not a curated record.